This 837-nucleotide long non-coding RNA is filed under the name Capra hircus (goat). RNAcentral's name for it is "lncRNA (ENSCHIG00000007468.1)". The record is from RNAcentral. Lineage: Eukaryota; Metazoa; Chordata; Mammalia; Artiodactyla; Bovidae.
AAUGUCAUACCUCUUUUAGGUCAAGCAAAAGGAUAAUAAUGCUCUACAGUGUUGUGAUAUAUGACAAUUUUUGUUUUUCUUUAUUUUUAAGUGUCCCAUGACUUCAUAGAGAGUGGAUCAUACUCCUCAAACCAUGAAUGUAAAACAAGGAGCUUCAGCUUUAUCAUUGCUGUGAGAUUUACAGCACUUCCUUCCAUCGUCAGCUUGCUAAUAGGCAGUGGUUGAACUCCCUGGAGUCUAAACUAGGAAAUAUGAGCAGUAUGUAACUGCUAUGGCUGGAAUCGCAUUCCACUUCAGAAGCUUCUUAACAGCAUUCUCAGAUGUGUGAAUAUACAUUAGUGACCCAAGGGGAUUACUCCCUGGCACCAAGUUUACCUUUAUGAGGGGCCUGGAUGAUGAGACCUUCCCUCCCAUAAGCAGAAGUGUCUGGAAAGCCCAGCUCUCAAGUAAGCAGCUGCCUUGCCUGUAUGUCCACAGCAUCAGUGACUGCCAAGAUGACCAAAGUUUCCUGAAAGGUGAAGAAAAUGCUUGAUUCUGGAGCACCCUUCUAAUAGCAAUUCUCACCAACAAAGAGAAGGAGCUGACUUGCACCUGGAAAGAUGGAAGAUUUGCUUGCUGGAUGUGACAUGCAAGCACAGUAGGUACACUCUGGUAGUCUGGUAGGAUGUCAUUAUAAUGAGCCAGGAGGAUGACUGUGGUUCCUCUGGACUAUAAUACAACAGAGAGACGAGCUGGCAUAACACUGAGGUAAGCAGUGAGCACAGACUUCUGAUUUUUCCAGGUGCAAGCCAAUUACUUCUACUUAUCUUUCUUGGUGGGAACUGACUUUCAAAAUGU